GGUGUAGCUCAGUGGGAGAGCACAUGCCUAGCAUGCAUCAGGCCCUGAGUUCAAUGCUCAGCACC
RNAcentral lists this transfer RNA (65 nucleotides) under Heterocephalus glaber (naked mole-rat). It matches the Rfam family "tRNA". From Rfam's summary of the family: Transfer RNA (tRNA) molecules are approximately 80 nucleotides in length. Their secondary structure includes four short double-helical elements and three loops (D, anti-codon, and T loops). Lineage: Eukaryota; Metazoa; Chordata; Mammalia; Rodentia; Bathyergidae. The record is from Rfam by way of RNAcentral.